AGAGUUUGAUCCUGGCUCAGGAUGAACGCUGGCGGCGUGCUUAACACAUGCAAGUCGAACGAAGCACUUUUGACGGAAGUUUUCGGAUGGAAGAUGAAAGUGACUUAGUGGCGGACGGGUGAGUAACGCGUGGGUAACCUGCCUCGUACAGGGGGACAACAGUUGGAAACGACUGCUAAUACCGCAUAACCCGCUAGAGUCGCAUGACUCAGACGGAAAAGAUUUAUCGGUACGAGAUGGACCCGCGUCUGAUUAGCUAGUUGGUGAGGUAACGGCUCACCAAGGCGACGAUCAGUAGCCGGCCUGAGAGGGUGAACGGCCACAUUGGGACUGAGACACGGCCCAAACUCCUACGGGAGGCAGCAGUGGGGAAUAUUGGGCAAUGGGCGCAAGCCUGACCCAGCAACGCCGCGUGAAGGAAGAAGGCCCUCGGGUUGUAAACUUCUUUUAUUCGGGACGAAACAAAUGACGGUACCGAAUGAAUAAGCCACGGCUAACUACGUGCCAGCAGCCGCGGUAAUACGUAGGUGGCAAGCGUUAUCCGGAUUUACUGGGUGUAAAGGGUGCGCAGGCGGGCGAUUAAGUCAGCGGUGAAAGGCUCGGGCUCAACCGGAGCAGUGCCGUUGAUACUGGUUGUCUUGAAUGCGGUCAAGGCCGGCGGAAUGUGGCGUGUAGCGGUGAAAUGCAUAGAUAUGCCACAGAACACCGAUAGCGAAGGCAGCUGGCCGGGCCUGCAUUGACGCUCAGGCACGAAAGCGUGGGGAUCGAACAGGAUUAGAUACCCUGGUAGUCCACGCUGUAAACGAUGGACACUCGUUGUCGGCGACAGACAGUCGGCGGCCAAGCGAAAGUGAUAAGUGUCCCACCUGGGGAGUACGGUCGCAAGGCUGAAACUCAAAGGAAUUGACGGGGGCCCGCACAAGCGGAGGAACAUGUGGUUUAAUUCGAUGAUACGCGAGGAACCUUACCCGGGUUUGAACGUAGUUUGACAGGGGUGGAAACACUUUUUCUAGCAAUAGCAAAUUACGAGGUGCUGCAUGGUUGUCGUCAGCUCGUGCCGUGAGGUGUCGGCUUAAGUGCCAUAACGAGCGCAACCCUUAUCACUAGUUACUAACAGGUAUAGCUGAGGACUCUGGUGAGACUGCCAGCGUAAGCUGUGAGGAAGGUGGGGAUGACGUCAAAUCAGCACGGCCCUUACAUCCGGGGCGACACACGUGUUACAAUGGCAUGGACAAAGGGCAGCUACCUGGCGACAGGAUGCUAAUCUCCAAACCAUGUCUCAGUUCGGAUCGGAGUCUGCAACUCGACUCCGUGAAGCUGGAUUCGCUAGUAAUCGCGCAUCAGCCAUGGCGCGGUGAAUACGUUCCCGGGCCUUGUACACACCGCCCGUCA
Molecule: ribosomal RNA, 1392 nt
Filed under: uncultured bacterium
Lineage: Bacteria
Description: partial 16S ribosomal RNA
Rfam family: Bacterial small subunit ribosomal RNA
Source: RNAcentral